UUUUUUUUUUCCUUUUUUUUUUUUUUAAUUCUGAAACAGACCUGUUUUGUACCGAGUUAUUUUUGGGAUAAAUUUUACCGGUUGCUGUUGUGGAGAAGGUGGCGUUUCCACCUUUUCCAUAAUAAAAUAGAAAUGUGUGUAGAACUGGAACUGUUUGAUUCGUCCCACUGUUGGAGUCCAAGCCUGGGCUAGGACUUUGGUGUCUGUCCAGCUGGUGGGGGGGAACCUGAGUUGGGGAUGGAGGGUGCAGCCCCAUCUGGUGUUGGACGCCUGACGCUGGCAUGGGUUGUGGGGGUGGUGGGGGGUCCCCACUCCUGGAGGGCCGAAGCUGCCUGCUUCCUUUCUCAUUCUCUUUCCUGCCUCACACCUAACGCCUUCCUCUCUAACUCACCAGGUGGGAGGACACCUUUGCCCGGAGCCACCUGUUGACCCUUGUGCCUGUGCCUCCAGGUGAGGGGAGGUUGGGGUGGGGCGGGCUGCCCUGUGUGCUGUCCACAGACUUCCCACAGCCAGAGCAUCUCUGGGCUAUUCCUUCCUUUCUGGUACUUUGGUUUUCAGAGAAACGUGGAUUCAGCAGUUUUGACUUUGUAGUGUAAUUCCUUUGUUUUUCUAUUUUUUUUUUUAACGUUGCCACAGAGCAAGGUAUGAGGAUUCUCUCUGAGUUGUGUAUUUGAUGAAGUGACUGGUGGAAGCUGUGACAAUCUGUCCAUUUAAGAGUGGGGCGGCUGGGCGUGGUGGCUUACACCUGUAAUCCCCAGCACUUUGGGAGGCUGAGGCAGGCGGAUCACCUGAGGUCAGGAGUUCAAGAGCAGCCUGACCAACAUGGCGAAAUCGCGUCACUACUAAAAAUACAAAAUUAGCUGGGUGUGGUGGCGCAUGCCUGUAAUCCCAGCUACUCGGGAGGCUGAGGCAAGAGAAUCGCCUGAACCGGGGAGGUGGAGGUUGCAGUGAGCUGAGAUUGUGCCAUUGCACUCCAGUCUGGGCAACAAGAGUAAAACUCCGUCUCAAAAAAGAGUGGGGCAACGCCUGAUACCUGUAAUCCCAGCACUUUGGGAGGUCAGGGCAGGAGGAUCUCCUGAGCCCAGAAGUUGGAGACCAGCCUAGGCAACAUGGCAACACCCCGUCUCUACUAAAAAUACAAAAAUUAGCUGGGUGUGGUGGCAUGCUCCUGUAGUCUCAGCUAGUCUAAAGGCUGAGGUGGGAGGAUCGCUUGAGCCCUGGAGGUCGAGGCUGCUGUGAGCCAUUAUCAUGCCGCUGCACUCCAAGCUGGGCAGUGGAGAGAGAGCCUUAUGCCCCCGAUGCUGGAUUGGUGACAGCACUUUGAGAAUGAGAUGGGAAGGGGGACAAGGAAGCUCCCGAGUUUUGCCUGAUGCCACUGUCCCACUGCUGGGAUGUACAGAAGACCAGGGCAGUGGGUAGUGGUAGUGGAGAGACAGACAGGAAUAUACGCCGCGUCUGCAGAAACCUUUCCCUGCACCAGCGGCUCCUGCGGGCACACAUCCCAGGCUAAGCUUGCUUCCAUGCUGGGAUGGACCUGGCUGAGUCAUGGGCAGGGGAGUGUGACUAAGGGUGGCCCUUUCACUGUUGGUCACAGAUGUCACUACAGGUCAGCAGCUGCCAUCUAAGCAGCUUGCCCCAUGCCAGCCAGGGCCACAGUGUAGAAACCCAGAUGAGCAGGAUGACUAAUCUUGGCCCUUCCAGAAGCCCAGUCUAACAGGAGAAAGGAUUACUAAGUACCUAGCUUUAGUUGCUGUGAAUGUGACAGGAAAAUGUCAUCAGUUCAGUGAGUUGGAAUCAGGUUAUCCCCAAGCAGGUGCCCUUGGCCUGGCCUCAGUGUUGGAGCAAGACCUGAGCAGGCUCAUGCCAGGCAGGGGGGCUGCUCUCUGGGGCCGUGCUAGGACUGGCUCCCUGCUGCUUAGGAAGUGGAGAGGGCACCUGGUGGACUGGUAUGAUCAGCCUCUGCAGGGUGUGACAAAUGCCAGGACUGACAGGCAGCGCUGCUUUGGUUGUGCA
Long non-coding RNA from Macaca fascicularis (crab-eating macaque), 2013 nucleotides. The record is from Ensembl. Lineage: Eukaryota; Metazoa; Chordata; Mammalia; Primates; Cercopithecidae.